This 870-nucleotide ribosomal RNA is filed under the name uncultured Acidobacteriota bacterium. RNAcentral describes it as "bacterial SSU rRNA". It matches the Rfam family "Bacterial small subunit ribosomal RNA", at positions 9 to 873 of the family's 1533-position model. The record is from RNAcentral. Lineage: Bacteria; Pseudomonadati; Acidobacteriota.
UAGAGUUUGAUCCUGGCUCAGAAUCAACGCUGGCGGCGUGCCUAACACAUGCAAGUCGAGCGAGAAAGGGGGGGCAACUCCCUGAGUAAAGCGGCGCACGGGUGAGUAACACGUGGGUAAUCUGCCCUGGAGUGGGGAACAACACCGGGAAACCGGUGCUAAUACCGCAUACGAUCACGAGGUCUGCGGAUCUUGGGAUGAAAGGAGCAAUUCGCUCUAGGAGGAGCCCGCGGCUGAUUAGCUAGUUGGUGAGGUAAUGGCUCACCAAGGCUACGAUCAGUAUCCGGUCUGAGAGGACGGUCGGACACACUGGAACUGAGACACGGUCCAGACUCCUACGGGAGGCAGCAGUGGGGAAUUUUUGGCAAUGGGGGCAACCCUGACCAAGCAACGCCGCGUGGGUGAUGAAGUCUCUUGGGACGUAAAACCCUUUCGACGGGGAAGAAACCGCAAGGUUGACGGUACCCGUAAAAGAAGCCCCGGCUAACUCCGUGCCAGCAGCCGCGGUAAUACGGGGGGGGCAAGCGUUAUUCGGAAUCACUGGGCUUAAAGGGCCCCGUAGCGGGCUGUCAAAUCUGGGGUGAAAUCCCGCGGCUUCACCGUGGAACUUGCCUUAAAUACUGACCGCCUUCAAGGAGGGUAGGGGCAUGCGAAACUUUAGGUGGAACCGGUAAAAUCCCUUGAUAUCUACGGGAACUCCGGGGGCAAAAAGGGGGUUCUUGGACCGUUUCCUACCCGUAGGGUCCAACACUUAGGGAACAGACGUGUAUCGAUCCCCCGGGAGUCCUAUCCCAAGGCAGGGGAAUGAAUAGUGGACCAACUGUGGGCUUUCUUGGAAAAGUGAAAAGGGAAUACGCCGCGUGGGGAGAG